CAGCCUGGACGUGGGGAGAAGAGGCCAGGGAGAGCCUCAGAGGCUGGGCAGAGGUCAGGAGCCUCUGAGACCAGGGAGAUGAACGGAGGACAGUUGGAGGCUGGUCAGAAUCUGGUGGAAGGCUGAACAACUCACGUCACAGGAGUCAUGGGUUAAAACAAGGCACCCAGAAUCGAACCAAUGUCCAAGACCAGCAUGUCUAACAUCUGGGCCAGAAGAGACCAGGGAUAACUCAGCUCAUAGUGAAGGUCAAGUGGUCAUGACCUCCAGAUACACAAGAUGGCUGUACCACAUGUCGUGUUCCCUAAGAGAUGGCUGAUGCCCGUUCCGGACAAGAGGAAGGUGGUCAACAGGACAGUAGCCCGAGGUUGUGACCACAGGCCUGGCACAGAACAAGAGCCAAGUGUUGCCCCAUUUGCUGCCGCAUUGUGGGUGUGGUGGAACAGAACGUGCUUGUAAGCCCAGCACUGAGAAAGAAGAAGCAAAAGGAUCACAGCAAGUUCAAUGCCAGCCUGAUCAACAUAGCAAGUAUCAGGCCAGCAGACCCACAUAGGAGAACCCUGAAUCAAAGCAAAAUAAAACAAAAUCUCCCAAAACUAUUUAUGUGGAAUUUAUGUGAUAUUAAACAUUUUAAGGAGAGAUAAAAUAAAUGGGAGGACAUACAUAAUUUAGA
This is a non-coding RNA of Peromyscus maniculatus bairdii (prairie deer mouse), 673 nucleotides long. NCBI's taxonomy places the organism in Eukaryota, Metazoa, Chordata, Mammalia, Rodentia, Cricetidae. The record is from RefSeq and is a predicted model, not a curated record.